UGGGGAAUAUUGGACAAUGGGCGAAAGCCUGAUCCAGCCAUGCCGCGUGUGUGAAGAAGGUCUUCGGAUUGUAAAGCACUUUAAGUUGGGAGGAAGGGCAUUAACCUAAUACGUUAGUGUUUUGACGUUACCGACAGAAUAAGCACCGGCUAACUCUGUGCCAGCAGCCGCGGUAAUACAGAGGGGGCAAGCGUUAAUCGGAAUUACUGGGCGUAAAGCGCGCGUAGGUGGGUUGUUAAGUUGGAUGUGAAAUCCCCGGGCUCAACCUGGGAACUGCAUUCAAAACUGACUGACUAGAGUAUGGUAGAGGGUGGUGGAAUUUCCUGUGUAGCGGUGAAAUGCGUAGAUAUAGGAAGGAACACCAGUGGCGAAGGCGACCACCUGGACUAAUACUGACACUGAGGUGCGAAAGCGUGGGGAGCAAACA
This 427-nucleotide ribosomal RNA is filed under the name uncultured bacterium. Its description in RNAcentral is "partial 16S ribosomal RNA". It matches the Rfam family "Bacterial small subunit ribosomal RNA", at positions 355 to 774 of the family's 1533-position model. The record is from RNAcentral.